Molecule: long non-coding RNA, 4686 nt
Organism: Lonchura striata (white-rumped munia)
Lineage: Eukaryota; Metazoa; Chordata; Aves; Passeriformes; Estrildidae
Source: RefSeq, a predicted model, not a curated record
UCCAGCGCCUGCUCCGCUCCGCGCUGCCCGCCCGUCCCGAGCCUCGCCGGGAUCCCGCAGCUUCCCGCGGAGCCCAACACCUCGGGGAGACACCGGCGCCUCCCGCAUCCUCCCGCCGUGUGCGCGGAGGCGGAGGGGCCGCGCCCGCGGUGCCCGCCCGCCCCGGGAGCCGCCGCAGGACAGUUGUGCUAUUUUCUGAUGAAGCUAAGAAAUAACAAUGCACCACAUGAUAUUAACAUGAAUUAUUUCUAAUAUAAAAGUGCUACUUGAAACUCAAUAGGACACUGGAGCAGUACAGAAAGCCCAGCCAUGGCCUCAGUAACAAGUUAUUUGUGAUUGGUUUAUACUCAUGGGAUUUUUUUUUUCCCAGCAGAGAAAUUUUGCCCAGCAUUUGAUGAUAUGUGUAAAUAUUAAAAGGAAAGGAGGGAAGAACUAAUAGACAGCAUUAAAACAGAACAGCAAAUACCAGCAAAUUGUGGGUGCCAUAAUUUUAAUGGAUGGCUAUUAAAAAUAAAAGAGCAAAGUAGGCAAAAUAAAAGGGAGGUUUUAUUGGACAAAAUUGACAGUUGUUAUCCUCACUGAUUCCUGACAUUUCAAGAUCAGUUUUUUUAUCUAAUGUUUCAACAGCUUUGGGUAUUUCCUUCUGGUGAACCACACUCAGCUGUAGCUUUUUUUUCCCCUUGAAACCCAAAAAUGUUUUUUUGUAAAUGUGUUAAUAUUUAUUAUAGCCAGUGUCAAAAAAAAACCAAAACAAAACAAAAAACCAAACAGCUCCACACUCCACUUAUAUAUGAGCUUCUCCUCAGCCUUUCCUGGGAUGAUCAGAGCCCUGGGUGGGCACACUCAGCUUCCUCUGGCAGCAGCUGGAAUUUCAUGCACGGAUCCAAGGCAAAAUAAUGCCCCCAGGGUGAUGUGUUCCCACCCAAGCUGAGACCUCUGAUCCACCCUCCAGCCCUGAGAGGGCUCCUCCAGCCCUUCCCACCCUCCUGCAGCCACAUCCCAGAAUCGUGGAGCCACUCAGCUUGGAAAAGAUCUCUGAGAUCAUCGAGUCCAACCAUUAGCCCAGCACUGAACCACGUCCCUAAUGGAUAUCCAGGUGUUUUUAAAUCAGCUCCAGGAAUGGUGAUCCCACCACUUCUCUGAGCAGCCUCUUCCGGUGCUGGACAACCCUUUUGGUGAAGAAUUUUUCCGUAAUACCCGACCUAAACCUCUCCUGGCACAAUGAAAAGCUGUUUUUUUCUUGUUUAUCACCUGGUCUGUGAGAGAAGAGUCUGACCUCCACCUGUCCACAACGUCCUUUCCUCCAUCAGGACAAUGUGCUGCAGCCUUUUCAACCCUUUUUAUUCAGUAGAGAGGCUUCUUGUCACCUGGCAGCCCAAGUGGAGGUUUUAAUGUCCUAAAGGAGGCUGAACAUGGACCACAGAGAGGAAGAACAUGGACUUGGAACUGUGUUUUCUGAAUCUCUCCAUCCAUUGCUCACAGAUCCUGGUGGCAGGACACACCUUCAGAUGGCAAUUUCACUACUCCCAUUAGAAAAAUCCUAGAUAAUGCAGAAAACCUGCUUGAAUUCUUGUUGUGGAAUAAUGGUUGUGGUUUAUUUUGACACCUCCACACUCUGCAUGUGGACAUUUUCUAUUGCAAUUUCUUCUUUGGCUUCCUUUCCUUUUCACCUUGUGGGCUAAUCUUCCAUACAUCCCAAUUCCUGGAUUUUGCCUGGGUACACAGAAAUGGAGAUUAACCUCCAGUAUGUGCUGUAAGCAACAGCCUGGAUUUUCAGGGCAUCUGGAUUUAGAGUUGCCAGAAUUAGAAACACGAGCCUGACGAGAUCAUGCUAGGGCAAUUCCCCAGCACUGGGCCAUAAAGCCAAUCAAUUUAAAAUGUAAUAGAAAGCACCAAAUUCUGGGUGAAGGAAGGCACUUACUGCUCUUUUGGAAAGAAAAGCUCAUAUUCGAAAUUGCUUUUCAGAUCAGACUCGAGCUUACUUUUAGUGAUGUCGGUGAUGCCACUUGUGUUCAGAAUUUUCUGUUUACUGCUGUUCCUUCUCCAUUUCCUCCUCUCCUCCUUUUCCUAAGGUCCCUGGCAUGGCUCAGAGGAGGCUCCAGGAUGAUCCUAGGGAUGGAGCAGCUCUGCAGGGAGGAAAGGCUGGGAGAGCUGGGGUUGUCCAGCCUGGAGAGGAGAAGCUUUGGGGUGAGCUCACUGUGGCCUGGAGGAGUUGGAGGAAGGAUGGAGAGAGACUUUGGAGAAGGGAUGGAUGGACAGGACACAGGGAAUGGCUUCAAGAGAGCAGAGUUAGAUGGGAUUUGGGAAGGAAUUCCUGGCUGUGAUGGUCGUGAGGCUCUAGCACAGUUUCCCAGAGCAACUGUGGCUGCCCCUGGAUCCCUGGAAGUGCCCAAGGCCAGGUUGGACACUGGGGCUUGGAGCAGCCUGGGACACUGAAGGUGUCCCUGCCCAUGGCAGGGGUGGCACUGGAUGGGUUUUAAGGUCCCUUCCAACUCAAAUCAUUCUGUGAUUCCAGGAUUUUUCUUCUUCGAGGACAGUUAGGACAUGGAGACAGAACUGAUUGAAAAGAGUUAGUGAGAUGAAGUCAUUUUAAUCUCAUGGAAAAAGGAGUUCACUAGCCAUGGAGAGGAUGAUGGCAAUGAUGUCUGCUCUGCUCUUGCAACUUUUGCCCCAGUUUUGUUUUGCUCCCAAGGACAGAAGGUGACCUUUCAUCCAAAACGGGCUCACUGGGAAGUUCAAGAUGAGCUGACUCACUCCCAUUCCACUUAUCCCUAAUGGAAGUUGUGGAUUAAUGCACCUCUAAAAAUGGCCAGAGAGGUUUGGGGCCUGAACUUGUGGCUGUCUCCUAACACCAAACACUGCAGUUCUUGGGUUUCCGGUGCGUGGUGCAUUAACUCAUCAGCAGGCACUUAGGAUGUAAUUUUUCUUACGUUAAAAUUAUGAAACGGUGAGAGCCAAAAUGAGCUGAGUGUCCUCCUCGGCCUGCAGCUCUAAGUGACCUCUGGAAGAGAACUGCUCUCCCUCUUUCCCACCAGCCAGGAGUCCUUCUGGAAAUUGCCAUCAGAAAUCAAAUCUCGUGGCUACUUUACAUGCAGGAGUUCCCUGAUUCCUUCUCUGAUAUAAUUUUGUUGAAGAGGGAAAUUUCUGGUUUUCUUUUUCAAAUUCCAAGGUUUUGGCACUUUUACAAAAGACCAAAUUUCUUUCACCAGGAACUUUGGGAACUGCGAUUUUUGGUCACUUCAUCCAAGGAGUCAUUACAUGUGGAUGUGCAAAGAGAACCAGAGGUCUAGGAAGCCAGAUUCACCCAGGAAAGAGUAAAUUAGGAUAGUUCUGAAUGGAAGAGUGGAAGGAAAAUGACAAUACUUUUGAAUUAUAAAAGAUUAUGUUGAAAAAUAAAGGGAACACUCUGCUUUUGACAAAUAACAUCAGGGAGAGAACAAUAAAUUGCUCUUAAUUUGGAAUUUAGAUUGAUACCAAAUAUAUUUGAUGGAGAGAGUGGCUAAGGAGGUCACAACCCCACAAUCCUGUGGCUGUUCAUGCUGAGGGACAAAUUGCUUGUGACCAUAUAUUACGCUCCUUAAAAUAAAUAUAUUGUCGAUAAACACAGGGAGAAAAUCCAGUAAAAAGCAGAUUUGGAACCAGGUUCCAAUAGAAACAAUGACAUAAAAAAUGUAACAUGAAAGGAUUGAAGCUUUCUAGAUCAACGUGGCUAAGUAGUGUUCAGGGCAUUUCAUAUCCUGGCCCUGAAUUCAUGGAAUUGGUUAAAAUCAUCUUCUUGGAAGUAUAUACAUGGGUAUAUGGAUACACAAACACCCACAUGCCUGCUCACCUGCAUUCUCGGAUUGUUUGUGCACAUCUGCAAGUUUUCAAGGGUCCUGUGUUUAGGGUUUUUAUUUUCCAUUCAUUUUCUCUCUUUCUGCACCAUCCAUCUCCGUCUGGCUGGCUGGAUAGCUGGGAAAUACCAGCUCCUUGGGAAGUCACCUUUCAGAACUUUGGGGAAAAAAUCUCAAAUAAGCAGAUUUAUAACAAGCUCUGAGCACUGGGAUUCCUGAAUAGAGAUAAAAUCUUAGGCAUGAGGGUAAUGUUGGAAUGUAAAAUCCGUAACAAUUUCCUCCCUGCUUUCACAGCAUCAAAUGUUUGCAGUUCCAGGGAGUGUGAGCGGGGCUCCCUUUUAGCUGUUGAUUUAACUGGGCUUAAAAUCCAAUGAAUAAAUUGUCCAUAGUUGAUCAGCUUGUGGGGUGCUCAGUGCCCACACACCAAAUAAUAAGCUCCACAUCCUACUGUGAGCAGUUUAUGGCCAGAAGACUGCGGGAACACGGCGGUGGAACUGUCAAAAUAAAAAACAUGUAAUGGGCUCAUAAACGAAAUGGACGGAUAUUGGUUUACAAUCAAGCCCAUAAAUACGUGUCACACCUGUCCUCUGGGUGGUCAGCAGCAAUCUGGCUGCCAAAAUCUGAGCAUAUUUUUGAGCUGGUGCUGUCUGAUUUGCCCUUCCCUCCUUGCUGAGCGAUACCAAGGGGUGAAGUUGGAGGCUGAAGUGAAAUGGUGACACUGCAGGCCAGGUGAUGUGAAUGUUUCAAGCUAAAUAUCCAACAAAUCCAGGAUAAUUCAAGGCUAAUUGUGUUUUAUUGUGUUAACCCUUUUAGGAAAAAAAAAUCAAUGAAAAUAGGUUUACAGCAGCUGUUU